ACACUGAUAUUUACAAUCAGAAAUACAUGAUUGGGACUUAUAUUAUUACAUUGAAUUCUGUGAAGUACAUGCCCAGACAAAUAAUCCCUUACAGAAGAGGGAUGUCCAUACUGCACUGAUAUUUACAAUCAGAAAUACAUGAUUGGGACUUAUAUUAUUACAUUGAAUUCUGUGAAGUACAUGCCCAGACAAAUAAUCCCUUACAGAAGAGGAAUGUCCAUACUCCACUCAUAUUGCACGAGAGGGAUGUCCAUACUCCACUGAUAUUUAUAAUCAGAAAUACAUGAUUGGGACUUAUAUUAUUACAUUGAAUUCUGUGAAAUACAUGCCCAGACAAAUAAUCCCUUACAGAAGAGGAAUGUCCAUACUCCACUCAUAUUGCACGAGGGAGAGGAAAUUUUUGAAAUAUUAAAUAAAUAAGCAUGUUAGCCCCCACAAAUACUUUUGUGGAGGCUUGAAC
RNAcentral lists this long non-coding RNA (460 nucleotides) under Citrus maxima (pomelo). Its description in RNAcentral is "long non-coding RNA (CMAX_LNC003552)". Lineage: Eukaryota; Viridiplantae; Streptophyta; Magnoliopsida; Sapindales; Rutaceae. The record is from RNAcentral.